This 468-nucleotide ribosomal RNA is filed under the name uncultured bacterium. RNAcentral's name for it is "partial 16S ribosomal RNA". It matches the Rfam family "Bacterial small subunit ribosomal RNA", at positions 28 to 507 of the family's 1533-position model. The record is from RNAcentral.
GACGAACGCUGGCGGCGUGCUUAGCACAUGCAAGUCGAACGGAAAGGCCCUGCUUUUGUGGGGUGCUCGAGUGGCGAACGGGUGAGUAACACGUGAGUAACCUGCCCUUGACUUUGGGAUAACUUCAGGAAACUGGGGCUAAUACCGGAUAGGAGCUCCUGCUGCAUGGUGGGGGUUGGAAAGUUUCGGCGGUUGGGGAUGGACUCGCGGCUUAUCAGCUUGUUGGUGGGGUAGUGGCUUACCAAGGCUUUGACGGGUAGCCGGCCUGAGAGGGUGACCGGCCACAUUGGGACUGAGAUACGGCCCAGACGCCUACGGGAGGCAGCAGUGGGGAGUAUUGCACAAUGGGCGGAAGCCUGAUGCAGCAGCGCCGCGUGCGGGAUGACGGCCUUCGGGUUGUGAACCGCUUUCGCCUGUGACGAAGCGUGAGUGACGGUAAUGGGUAAAGAAGCACCGGCUAACUACGUG